Raphanus sativus (radish) is the source of this 802-nucleotide long non-coding RNA. RefSeq lists it as uncharacterized. Lineage: Eukaryota; Viridiplantae; Streptophyta; Magnoliopsida; Brassicales; Brassicaceae. The transcript has 2 exons. The record is from RefSeq and is a predicted model, not a curated record.
AAUCUCUUCAGUUCUUGGAUUUGUUUACGGGGUGGCGAAAAAGAAAUGAACCCACCCUAGUUACAAAAAAGUUUCCUCUAUUGUUGAUUGUUAUCACUAAGAAACUCAAGCUGGCCACUAUAAAUUACCUAGGCUCUCCGUCUCCUGCUUCACCUGGUCAUUCGAGAAUCCAAUCACAUAUGGACUCAACAUCAUCUCUUGAACAAGAAACCCAUUACAAAUAUGAUGAAUGAGACAUUCAAACACCGAAUAGUGGCGGCAAGAGGAAAAAAACUCCGCCAACUAGUAGAGCAACCAACCUCUCAACCGAGCAAAGUGAACCGUAUUGUCCCUACAAGAUCAGAAGUUUGGGAUCAUUACACAAUAACUAAAGAAGAUCGAGAAAUAUGUCCAUGCAACUAGUGCCAUAAAAAAUUUCCAUGUCUCACAAUCCCCGGGACCUCAAAUCUGAGGAACCAUCUUGCUUGGUCAGCUGGAAAAAAAAGAUAAGCAGCCCGUUAUUGAAGAUGAUGAGAAACUUAAGAAGGUAAAAUUGACUGAAGGUCAGUUUAGAAGAACCACAAAUCAGAUGCUUGUGUUAGGGUAAUUUCUUAUAUCAUUUGUUGAAAGUGUAGUAUGGAAACAUUUCUGCGACAAGUAAAUUCUCUACUUCUCUUCUAUGUAUAUUUUUGCCUUUAUCAUUUGUUAUAGCUAGUUUUAUGUUUUCUGUUUGUAGACAACCGUGUUCACUCCUAAUUCAAGAAAAACCUCGACUAAAUACAUUGUUACGACAUAUGUGGAAAAUAAAGAUGCACUUAAGAAA